Molecule: long non-coding RNA, 1195 nt
Organism: Crotalus tigris (Tiger rattlesnake)
Lineage: Eukaryota; Metazoa; Chordata; Lepidosauria; Squamata; Viperidae
Exons: 2
Source: RefSeq, a predicted model, not a curated record
CAGGUACUCCUUUGACACUGGCAGAAGCGGGAGGAGCUACAGUAGAGGACUGCUGUAUGAGAGAAAGAAAAACUUUGAAAUAUAUAUUUCAACCCAACAUCCAAAUUAGAAGAAGGUGCUAAGAAUCUCCCGAUCCACUAGAAGCAUGAUAAGCCCAAAACUACGAAUUGGUACAUGGAAUCUGAGAAGCCUAUACAAAGCUGGGAAAACACACAACACUAUCCAAGAAAUGUCCAAAUACAAUAUCUCUAUAUUGGGAGUGAGUGAAAUGCACUGGCCUGAAAAUGGAAUGUGUAGAAUAGGAAAUUAUAUUAUCUACUACUCUGGUGAGAAUAGCAAACACCAUUGAAAUGGAGUAGCUAUAAUUGUAAACAAUCGUGUAAAUAAAUGCAUCAAGUCUAAAGACUUCCUGUAUCCGAUAGAGUGAUAAUGAUCCAAAUAAAUAGUGCUCCAAUAAAUAUGAAUGUUAUACAAGUUUACGCUCCCAUAGCUGACAGCGAUUAGAAGGAUUUAGAGAAGUUCCACGAAGAUAUAAGCAAUGUACUGAAAACCCUAAAAAGUAAUGAUAUCACAAUACUCAUGGGGGACUUCAAUGCAAAAGUGGGAGAAGGAAGUGAUGCUCCUGUAGUUGAAAAUUUUGGCUUAGGAACCAGAAAUGGUAGAGGCGACAUAUUUGUUAGACUUCUGCAAGGAACAUAGGCAAAGUGUGAUGAAUACUUUCUUCAAGUUGCCAAAAAGAUGCCUCUACACUUGGAGAUCACCAGCAGAUACACGAAAUAAUGUAGUAAGGAACCAAAUCGACUAUCUUACAAUAAACAAAAGAUUUAGAAACUCAAUAAAAUCCGAUCAUAAUCUACUACUUGCUGAAGUCCAGCUGAAACUAAAAAGGAUGAAAAACCCAAACCCUGCUAAACCAAGAAUCGACAGAGACUUUAUCAUUAAACAUGGAGGUAAGAUUAAAGAAGAAGUAGAAAAUCAUUUAAGGGAAACCAACAACCUGAAUGAUGAUGAUGUAGAAGCGAACUGAAAUAAAUUUAAAAAUGCAAUAGUAGAGGUAACAAAUUCAAAACAGAGAGAGGGGUACCACAAGAAACAACAGUGGAUGACAGAGGAUAUUCUUCAUCUGAAAGAAGAUCUUAUAAAAAUUAAAAAAAGAAAAAUACAAUGAAUUCCAGAAAACAAUUAGAAGAAAAAA